CCUACGGGAGGCAGCAGUGGGGAAUAUUGGACAAUGGGCGAAAGCCUGAUCCAGCCAUGCCGCGUGUGUGAAGAAGGCCUUCGGGUUGUAAAGCACUUUCAGUAGGGAGGAAGAGUUGAGUGUUAAUAGUACUCAGCUUUGACGUUACCUACAGAAGAAGCACCGGCUAACUCUGUGCCAGCAGCCGCGGUA
RNAcentral lists this ribosomal RNA (192 nucleotides) under uncultured Rheinheimera sp. RNAcentral describes it as "partial 16S ribosomal RNA". It matches the Rfam family "Bacterial small subunit ribosomal RNA", at positions 338 to 522 of the family's 1533-position model. The record is from RNAcentral. Lineage: Bacteria; Pseudomonadati; Pseudomonadota; Gammaproteobacteria; Chromatiales; Chromatiaceae.